This 297-nucleotide signal recognition particle RNA is filed under the name Cebus imitator (Panamanian white-faced capuchin). RNAcentral's name for it is "Metazoan signal recognition particle RNA (ENSCCAG00000006539.1)". It matches the Rfam family "Metazoan signal recognition particle RNA". From Rfam's summary of the family: The signal recognition particle (SRP) is a universally conserved ribonucleoprotein. It is involved in the co-translational targeting of proteins to membranes. The eukaryotic SRP consists of a 300-nucleotide 7S RNA and six proteins: SRPs 72, 68, 54, 19, 14, and 9. Lineage: Eukaryota; Metazoa; Chordata; Mammalia; Primates; Cebidae. The record is from RNAcentral.
GCCGGAUGCCAUGGCACGUGCCUGUAGUCCCAGCUACUCGGGAGGCUGAGGCUGGAGGAUCACUUGAGCCCAGGAGCUCUGGGCUGUAGUGCUAUGCCGAUCGGGUGUCCGCACUAAGUUCGGCAUCAAUAUGGUCACCUCCCGGGAGCGGGGGACCACCAGGUUGCCUAAGGAGGGGUGAACUGGCCCAGGUCAGAAACGGAGCAGGUCAAAACUCUGGUGAUGAUCGGUAAUGGGAUUGAGCCUGUGAAUAGCCACUGCACUCCAGCCUGGGCAAUGUAGUGAGACCCCAUCUCU